CGCUGAACGCACUGGGAUCUGCACCAAGUUAGGCCUCCAAGUCUACAGACUUCAGUGAGAUACAGCGGGGAACUUUCAGACCAUGGAGAGAAGCAAGUUCUUACUGCUUUUAAGGAGUAGCAGAUUUUUGGAGGCCCUUACCCCACCAUUCCUGAUGUCCUGCUCUGAAUGACUCUGGAUAGACAGACGUCUGUGAACGAAGCAACAGCAUGCGCAAAAGAUGGAGAUAUGAAAGUUCAUAACUUAUUUAAGACUAGCAAGUGACCCUGAGUGACUGGACCAUAUGGAAGAUAGGAAGCUGGAACUUAGAGAAGACGAGUGACUCGCCUAAGGUCACAUAGCCAGUAAGCAGCAGAGCAAGGAUUCAGAUCCAGGACUGUUGGCCACUAGAGUCUGGAGUCUUUCUUUUAUGUUGUCUCCAACCAUCUCUCAGGAGACUCCAAUUCUAGACUGGGUCCCAGUCAGGGGCUCAGAGCUGAAAGCCCCUUUUUCAGACCCUUAUGUACAUACCCUGCGGGAGCAGCAGGUCUGGACCAGGCCAUGGUAGGCAUGGAACUCCAGCAGGAAUGUCAGCGGACUCCUGUACUGCCUGACCCAGGGCAUCCUUUCUCUCUGUCCCAGGCCUGUAGAGCUGGGCUUAUUUUCAGGGCUGGAUGAGUGGAUUUUUCCCAAUGGAGUGUGGAUAGUCCACAGUUGGGCCAAAUGGAGGCCCCUCCCUCCCAUAGGAGAAAAGGGGAAAGGGGGAAGGGGAGCAGAGCAGCCUUCCAGAAGGGAUAGCUUUGCUGAGUUUCAGCCUAAUAUCCUGGAGCUAUUCCUAGGUAGAUUGUGGUCAGUGGAAUUAUGCUUU
This is a long non-coding RNA of Lagenorhynchus albirostris (white-beaked dolphin), 847 nucleotides long. RefSeq lists it as uncharacterized. The transcript is spliced from 3 exons. Lineage: Eukaryota; Metazoa; Chordata; Mammalia; Artiodactyla; Delphinidae. The record is from RefSeq and is a predicted model, not a curated record.